Non-coding RNA from Bombina bombina (fire-bellied toad), 483 nucleotides. Lineage: Eukaryota; Metazoa; Chordata; Amphibia; Anura; Bombinatoridae. The record is from the annotation of a RefSeq genome assembly.
AUGAUUUCUCAAAAUAAUUUGCUAUGUGUAUUUUUUCUGUGCUUGCAAGGCUCUUGUGCACAGAUUGUGAUGACCCAAUCAACAGAUUCUGUAACAGUGUCACCAGGAGAAAGUGUCACCAUCACUUGUAAAGCCAGUUCUAGCCUUAUUUAUAACUCUCAGAGCUGGUUAGCCUGGUAUCAACAGAAACCAGGAAAACCUCUAAUGCUUCUUAUAUAUUAUGCAAGUGCCAAAGCCACAGGGAUCCCAGACAGAUUCAGCAGCAGUCGGUCUGGUACUGAUUUCACUCUCACGAUCAGCGGAGCGCAAGCAGAAGACGCAGCAGAUUAUUACUGUCAGCAGGGAAGGAGCUUGCCUCUCACAGUAUUCCCUAUCAUUCAGGCUCGAAGCCGGGAUAAGAAGAUUACUGGCCGAGUUCGGUCUGAUAGUGGAAUAUCCCAAGAGCAUUGCAUUAUACUUGGGCCAUGGAGCCAAAUGAGGUAG